Molecule: ribosomal RNA, 510 nt
Filed under: uncultured bacterium
Lineage: Bacteria
Description: bacterial SSU rRNA
Rfam family: Bacterial small subunit ribosomal RNA
Source: RNAcentral
GAUCCCGGCUUAGGAUGAACGCAGCGACAGGCUAACACAUGCAAGUCGGGGGCAGCAUAGAAGUAGCAAUACUUGGUGGCGACCGGCGCACGGGUGAGUAACGCGUAUGCAACCUACCUAUCAGGAGGGGAAUAACCCGGCGAAAGUCGGACUAAUACCGCAUAAAACAGGGGCACCGCAUGGUGAUAUUUGUUAAAGAAAUUCGCUGAUAGAUGGGCAUGCGUUCCAUUAGGUAGUUGGUGAGGUAACGGCUCACCAAGCCGACGAUGGAUAGGGGAACUGAGAGGUUGGUCCCCCACACUGGUACUGAGACACGGACCAGACUCCUACGGGAGGCAGCAGUGAGGAAUAUUGGUCAAUGGGCGGGAGCCUGAACCAGCCAAGUCGCGCGAAAAGGAAGAAGGAUCUAUGGUUCGCAAACUUCUUUUGCAGGGGAAUAAAGUGCAGGACGUGUCCUGUUUUGUAUGUACCCUGAGAAUAAGGAUCGGCUAACUCCGUGCCAGCAGCGGC